Molecule: transfer RNA, 82 nt
Filed under: Caudoviricetes sp.
Lineage: Duplodnaviria; Heunggongvirae; Uroviricota; Caudoviricetes
Description: tRNA-Leu
Rfam family: tRNA
About the family: Transfer RNA (tRNA) molecules are approximately 80 nucleotides in length. Their secondary structure includes four short double-helical elements and three loops (D, anti-codon, and T loops). Further hydrogen bonds mediate the characteristic L-shaped molecular structure. tRNAs have two regions of fundamental functional importance: the anti-codon, which is responsible for specific mRNA codon recognition, and the 3' end, to which the tRNAs corresponding amino acid is attached (by aminoacyl-tRNA synthetases). tRNAs cope with the degeneracy of the genetic code in two manners: having more than one tRNA (with a specific anti-codon) for a particular amino acid; and 'wobble' base-pairing, i.e. permitting non-standard base-pairing at the 3rd anti-codon position.
Source: RNAcentral
GUGCUUAUGGCGGAAUAGGAAGACGCUUCGGACUUAAAAUCUGAUUCCGAUAGGAGUGUGGGUUCAAAUCCCACUAAGCACA